UACGUAGGGUGCGAGCGUUAAUCGGAAUUACUGGGCGUAAAGCGUGCGCAGGCGGUUGGCAAAGUCAGCUGUGAAAGCCCCCGGGCUUAACCUGGGAAUGGCGGUUGAAACUAGUCGACUCGAAUCUGGCAGAGGGGGGUGGAAUUCCGACGGUGUAGCAGGUGAAAUGCGUAGAGAGUGUGGAGGAACACCGAUGGCGAAGGCAGCCCCCUGGGCUGAGAUU
This 223-nucleotide ribosomal RNA is filed under the name uncultured bacterium. RNAcentral's name for it is "partial 16S ribosomal RNA". It matches the Rfam family "Bacterial small subunit ribosomal RNA", at positions 524 to 741 of the family's 1533-position model. The record is from RNAcentral.